GCCACCCUAGCUCAACGGCAGAGCAGUGCUUUUGUAAAGCAAAGGUUCCGGGUUCAAAUCCCGGGGGUGGCUCUA
This 75-nucleotide transfer RNA is filed under the name Candidatus Liptonbacteria bacterium RIFCSPLOWO2_01_FULL_52_25. RNAcentral's name for it is "tRNA-Thr". It matches the Rfam family "tRNA". From Rfam's summary of the family: Transfer RNA (tRNA) molecules are approximately 80 nucleotides in length. Their secondary structure includes four short double-helical elements and three loops (D, anti-codon, and T loops). The record is from RNAcentral. Lineage: Bacteria; Candidatus Liptoniibacteriota.